Molecule: long non-coding RNA, 727 nt
Organism: Planococcus citri (citrus mealybug)
Lineage: Eukaryota; Metazoa; Arthropoda; Insecta; Hemiptera; Pseudococcidae
Exons: 2
Source: RefSeq, a predicted model, not a curated record
CGGCUAAAAUUUUAUGAACAUCCUUUUUUUGAUCUUACGGGAAAAAGUUGUUACGAUUCAGAAUUGAAUGAGCAAUGCGAUACCAACAUAUUUCAUAGGACGUACUAAUCAGCGAUGAGAUAUUUCUAGGGAGGAAAAUGCGAAUAAUCGGUUGGUACGAGUAAUAACAAAAAAAUGCGUAGAAAAAUGACUAAUUUAGUGGCUAUUUUCCAUCAUGAUGUCCCUUCGUUGGCAAAUUAGUAAUCACAGAAGUCGAAUCAAAGGUUGAACAGUGCGGUCAUUUCGUUGUGAAGAAAAGCUACUUGGUUGUUUCAUGUUUGCUAGUAUCAUUCCAUAAGCUGAAAUCCAUGUACCUAAGUUGGUGAAACAUACAUAUAUCUACAGGAUGGAGAUUAUCGAAAUAGUAUUCUUCGUGGUUUUUGUGAUAUUCAUUGGCAUAUGGGUAUUCGCAACAAUAUUCGUCAUUAUUCAUGUGUACAAGGCUUUCAAGACUGCAGGACGGGGACCACAACAUCUCGAGAUUCGCUAUACUAUUGACACACAUGUUGGAACAUCUGCGAACGAACUCUGAAUCUCGUAAGUGAUUCAGUCCGUCGUUCAGUUCUUUUGGUUACAUAGUUACUACACUACCGCGUAGAGCUAGGCCUACAAAGUCUCGAUGUUUGUUAACUUUCAGCUUUUAUAAAAUUUAUUACGAUGAAAUAAUUAAUAUACUAUGGUACUGUUA